This 106-nucleotide small nuclear RNA is filed under the name Eschrichtius robustus (grey whale). The record is from RNAcentral. Lineage: Eukaryota; Metazoa; Chordata; Mammalia; Artiodactyla; Eschrichtiidae. RNAcentral also lists the same sequence under 1 other name.
GUGCUUACUUUGGAAGCACAUAUACUAAAAUUGGACUGAUACAGAGAAGAUUAACAUGGUCCCUGCACAGGAUGACUUGCAAAUUUGUGAAGCGUUCCAUAUUUUU